RNAcentral lists this ribosomal RNA (866 nucleotides) under Lactarius rufus. RNAcentral describes it as "eukaryotic LSU rRNA". It matches the Rfam family "Eukaryotic large subunit ribosomal RNA", at positions 81 to 925 of the family's 3401-position model. The record is from RNAcentral. Lineage: Eukaryota; Fungi; Basidiomycota; Agaricomycetes; Russulales; Russulaceae.
UAGUAACUGCGAGUGAAGCGGGAAAAGCUCAAAUUUAAAAUCUGGCAGUCUUUGGCCGUCCGAGUUGUAAUUUAGAGAAGCGUCUUCCGCGCUGGACCGUGCACAAGUCUCCUGGAAUGGAGCGUCAUAGAGGGUGAGAAUCCCGUCUUUGGCACGGAUGCCUGGUGCUUCUGUGAUGCGCUCUCGAAGAGUCGAGUUGUUUGGGAAUGCAGCUCAAAAUGGGUGGUGAACUCCAUCUAAAGCUAAAUAUUGGCGAGAGACCGAUAGCGAACAAGUACCGUGAGGGAAAGAUGAAAAGCACUUUGGAAAGAGAGUGAAACAGUACGUGAAAUUGUUGAAAGGGAAACGCUUGAAGUCAGUCGCGUCGACCGAGACUCAGCCUUGCCUUGGCUUGGUGUACUUCUCGGCCCGACGGGUCAGCAUCAAUUUUGCCCCUCGGAUAAUGGCAGGGGAAAGGUGGCACCUUUACGGGUGUGUUAUAGUCUCCCGUCGAAUGCGAGGGGUGGGAUUGAGGAACUCAGCGCGCACCUCAGUGUCGGGGCUUCGGCCCACGUCACGCGCUUAGGAUGCUGGCGUAAUGGCUUUAAACGACCCGUCUUGAAACACGGACCAAGGAGUCCAACACGCCCGCGAGUGUUCGGGUGGAAAACCCGUGCGCGUAAUGAAAGUGAAAGUUGGGACCUCUGUCGUGGAGGGCACCGACGCCCGGACCAGACCUUCUGUGACGGAUCUGCGGUAGAGCGUGUGUGUUGGGACCCGAAAGAUGGUGAACUAUGCCUGAAUAGGGUGAAGCCAGAGGAAACUCUGGUGGAGGCUCGUAGCGAUUCUGACGUGCAAAUCGAUCGUCAAAUUUGGGUAUAGGGGCG